Molecule: long non-coding RNA, 2415 nt
Organism: Scleropages formosus (Asian bonytongue)
Lineage: Eukaryota; Metazoa; Chordata; Actinopteri; Osteoglossiformes; Osteoglossidae
Source: Ensembl
AGCAUGCAACAUAUUUACACUUCAGACGGUAAAAAUAUCUUCUUCAACCUACCUGUGAUCAACCCAGACAGACUGCGCACAGCAAAAGCUUUGGUGGACAAGGCUGUGAAGUUGAAGAAGGUGUUUUCUGUGCAGGGUCCGUACCCUGUGGUCCGUGCUGCCCUCAGGGCAAGGGGAUGGGUGGAACGUUACCUCCCACGCCCGACCCCACAGAUUAGAUAUGAUUCCUCUUUCAAGUAUAGUGCAGAAGAGGUGGAAAAACAAGACGGCUCAGACAACUUGUAUGACCUCAUGUCUCGCCUGGUUCGUAACGAAUCUACGUAUCUCUACUGGACAAUGCGGAGAGAUGCGAUUGACUGUCGCACACUGCGAAAGGAGCAGAUGAUCAAUCAUUAUGCAAAGGCAGGAACUUUCACCACAAAGGUUGGUUUAUGUGUAAACCUAAGAAACCUGCAGUGGUUUGACGCAGCGGACCCAGACACCUUCUUCCCACGUUGCUACAGGCUCGGCGCAGAGGACGAGAAGCAUGCCUUCAUUGAGGACUUCCGGAGGACAGCCUGCAACAGCCUGUUGCAGUACGUUGUUGAGAGGCAUUACAGGCAGCAGCGGGAGGGAGAAGUUGCCAGGAAGCAAAAUAAGCGUCGAGCCAUGCAAAUGGUUGGCUCUGGAAUGAUUGACACUGCAUUACAAGUUUGCCAGGACUUCCUGGACUGUUUAGAUCAUCAUGAUAUUGACAUUGCCAAAGAAACUUCAUCUUCUCUCACAGAACAACAGUGGGCAGAAUUUCUUCACAACUAUUACCUUGUUGUGCAUGAUGGAGUGGAAAUGGAGGAUAGUGCUUGGUAUGUCGAUCGAUGUCACACAAUGCUGCAGAGGCUGCAAGCGGUCUGUCCGCAGCUUGACACAGACGGAAUCCAUAACAUCUGGAUUGUCAAACCUGGAGCCAAGUCACGCGGCAGAGGCAUCCUGUGUUUUAAUCGACUGCAUGACAUCCUGAAGCUCGUGGACAGCGAUCCUUCUUUGAUCAAGGACAGCAAGUGGGUGGUGCAGAAGUACCUGGAGCGUCCCUUUCUGAUUCAUGGCACCAAGUUCGAUGUACGCCAGUGGUUCCUGGUUACCGACUGGAAUCCCCUGACUGUAUGGUUCUACCGGGAAUGCUACUUGCGCUUCUCUACUCAGCCCUACUCUUUAGAAACACUGGAUAGCUCAAUACACCUAUGCAACAACUCUAUCCAGAAGCACUUCCAGCCAUCAGAGCUACGUCACCCAGAGGUGCCUGAGGACAACAUGUGGUCAUGUGAGCAGUUCUGUUCCUUCCUGUCCAAGCAGGGCCGGGAAGCCCAGUGGAGGGACAUCGUGGUCCCUGGGAUGCAGCAGGCGGUGGUACAUGCCCUACAGACUGCUCAGGACCUUGUGGAGUCGCGGAGGGGUAGCUUUGAGCUCUACGGGGCAGACUUCAUGUUGGGCCGAGACUUGAGACCAUGGCUGAUUGAGAUCAAUGCCAGCCCAACCAUGGCCCCCUCCACAGCUGUGACAGCUCGUCUGUGUGCCGCUGUACAGGAGGAUACCCUACGUGUGGUGCUGGACCGCCGACUUGACCGGAACGCCUCCACUGGUGGCUUCGAGCUCAUAUACAAACAGCCCGCUGUUGAAGUUCCACAGUAUGUGGGAGUAAAUCUGCUGGUGGAGGGGGCUUCCCUGAGACGACCUCGCCUUGCUUCUCAGAGAAGGAACACCUUCCUCCAAGAGCAUGAAGCCGACGCCCAGCCUAGACCCAGCCAGCUGGGACAAGAGGCAGCUGCAAAAACUGCCAAAUCUGCUGUCCGCAAACCAAGAGCAACUGCAGAGAAGCAAGUGCAGCUCAGGCCAACCAUAUCCUACAACAAGACGCCUGCCGCGACCAUAUUCCAUUCUACAGAAAAUGAGAACCACACAGAGAGUGAGAGGAAAGGACUAGCGCCUGUAAGGAGACGGAACCCUGUUGUGUUGGGUCGGCCUUUCAGUCUCUCCCCACUCAGGGUGCCCCGGAAGGUCACCGCAGACCGUUCCGGCCUCAGAGUAGAACCUAGGAACCCAAGACGGCUGGGUUUCACCAGAGCGACAGCUGUCCACUUACCCCAGUAUAACCUGUCCCGCUCUCUGGAUACAGCGUGGAACACUUACCGCUCUCAUAUCCCACACCGCCUGACGCAGCCCACUCUGAAGCCCUUACUACGGGCCCCUCGUGACCUUCCCGCCCUGCAGGGUCCCAUCUUACCACUGAAGGUCAUCAGCCUGCAACUGAGUCUGCUAAACAACACGCACACCAUUCCUCAUACUGCACACGUCUCAAAUCCUGGCCUCCAGAUGCGCCAGUUCUUAUCCCCAAAACAGGCCGUGACCCCCUGCAAGGAAGGUGGUCACAAGUCCUCAUAA